This 500-nucleotide ribosomal RNA is filed under the name Microbacterium sp. RNAcentral describes it as "bacterial SSU rRNA". It matches the Rfam family "Bacterial small subunit ribosomal RNA", at positions 834 to 1327 of the family's 1533-position model. The record is from RNAcentral. Lineage: Bacteria; Bacillati; Actinomycetota; Actinomycetes; Micrococcales; Microbacteriaceae.
ACGGAUUCCGUGACGCAGCUAACGCAUUAAGUUCCCCGCCUGGGGAGUACGCCGCAAGGCUAAAACUCAAAGGAAUUGACGGGGACCCGCACAAGCGGCGGAGCAUGCGGAUUAAUUCGAUGCAACGCGAAGAACCUUACCAAGGCUUGACAUACACCAGACACCGUAGAAAUACGGGACUCUUUGGACACUGGUGAACAGGUGGUGCAUGGUUGUCGUCAGCUCGUGUCGUGAGAUGUUGGGUUAAGUCCCGCAACGAGCGCAACCCUCGUUCUGUGUUGCCAGCACGUUAUGGUGGGAACUCAUGGGAUACUGCCGGGGUCAACUCGGAGGAAGGUGGGGAUGACGUCAAAUCAUCAUCCCCUUAUGUCUUGGGCUUCACGCAUCUACAAUGGCCGGUACAAAGGGCUGCAAUACCUGAGGUGGACGAAUCCCAAAAACCGUCCCAAUCGGAUUGAGGUUUUGACUGACACUGAGAGUUGAUCCCUCCCCAUGACGAG